This 74-nucleotide transfer RNA is filed under the name Flavipsychrobacter stenotrophus. RNAcentral describes it as "tRNA-Gln". It matches the Rfam family "tRNA". From Rfam's summary of the family: Transfer RNA (tRNA) molecules are approximately 80 nucleotides in length. Their secondary structure includes four short double-helical elements and three loops (D, anti-codon, and T loops). The record is from RNAcentral. Lineage: Bacteria; Pseudomonadati; Bacteroidota; Chitinophagia; Chitinophagales; Chitinophagaceae.
AGUCCGAUGGUGUAACGGUAGCACCACAGUUUUUGGUACUGUUUGUCUAGGUUCGAAUCCUGGUCGGACUACGA